CCGGUUGUGAUAUCACAAGAGCGGCCAAGCACCAUGCCUGAACUAGAUCAGGACGUUCCAACUGUGCAGCAACGUUUGCAUUAUAUUGGCACAUUGCUGGAAUAUCAGUGAUGUUGAUGCUGAAGAUCAAACAAAUAAGGAAUUUGGAUACAUGUGCAUAAAAUGUUCUCCAUUGCCAAUUCCAUUUCCCAACGCGGAGAGUGCUCUAGGUGUUGUACUCUCAGGUUUCAUCGACGACUUUCUGGUGUACGAGGCACGACCAAAACAUACAAGAAUACCUAUUGAAACACUGAAUUGAGUCCUGGCACACAUGUUUCGAUGACACUAAUUAUUUACAUACCCACGCAACAAAACUUUGCUCCAGAUGUCCGAGGGAACGGACAGAAUUGGAAUGUAGGUUGCGCGCUGUACGGAUAAUUUGCAGGAAAAUUUACUUUCAAUAUUACAUUAUAAAUUUUAUUGGAAGCUGUUACGGUGCAACUACGUUCCACCGCAUCCAUGGUGUUAACCUAAAAUGGCAAAAAGAAAUUUACCUUGACGCAUUACUACGUAGUGCAUAUAUAUGUACCUCGAUAUUUGGAUUUAAUGUAGGUUCGUCCACUUUUGUCGUUAUACAGUUCAUUUUACGAUCGUUCUGAGCGUCGUUAAGUUGUAUUUGAACAGACUGUAGUGUUCCUGUAUUAAUAAUAAAUGUAUUAAUAUAACGAGA
Hylaeus anthracinus is the source of this 709-nucleotide long non-coding RNA. RefSeq lists it as uncharacterized. The transcript is spliced from 4 exons. NCBI's taxonomy places the organism in Eukaryota, Metazoa, Arthropoda, Insecta, Hymenoptera, Colletidae. The record is from RefSeq and is a predicted model, not a curated record.